GAGAGAUUCUAACUCCCACCACUAACUCCCAAAGCUAGCAUUGCUAAACUAAACUAUUUUCUGA
Molecule: transfer RNA, 64 nt
Filed under: Prochilodus lineatus (curimbata)
Lineage: Eukaryota; Metazoa; Chordata; Actinopteri; Characiformes; Prochilodontidae
Description: partial tRNA-Pro
Source: RNAcentral